RNAcentral lists this ribosomal RNA (608 nucleotides) under uncultured bacterium. RNAcentral's name for it is "bacterial SSU rRNA". It matches the Rfam family "Bacterial small subunit ribosomal RNA", at positions 33 to 627 of the family's 1533-position model. The record is from RNAcentral.
ACGCUGGCGGCAGGCCUAACACAUGCAAGUCGAGCGGUAGCACAGGAGAGCUUGCGUCUCUGGGUGACGAGCGGCGGACGGGUGAGUAAUGUCUGGGAAACUGCCUGAUGGAGGGGGAUAACUACUGGAAACGGUAGCUAAUACCGCAUGACCUCGCAAGAGCAAAGUGGGGGACCUUCGGGCCUCACGCCAUCGGAUGUGCCCAGAUGGGAUUAGCUAGUAGGUGGGGUAAUGGCUCACCUAGGCGACGAUCCCUAGCUGGUCUGAGAGGAUGACCAGCCACACUGGAACUGAGACACGGUCCAGACUCCUACGGGAGGCAGCAGUGGGGAAUAUUGCACAAUGGGCGCAAGCCUGAUGCAGCCAUGCCGCGUGUGUGAAGAAGGCCUUAGGGUUGUAAAGCACUUUCAGCGAGGAGGAAGGCGUUGCAGUUAAUAGCUGCAGCGAUUGACGUUACUCGCAGAAGAAGCACCGGGCUAACUCCGUGCCAGCAGCCCGCGUAAUACGGAGGGUGCAGGCGUUAAUCGGAAUUACUGGGGCGUAAAGCGCACGCAGGCGGUUUGUUAAGUCAGAUGUGAAAUCCCCGAGCUUAACUUGGGAACUGCUUU